Molecule: long non-coding RNA, 365 nt
Filed under: Rattus norvegicus (Norway rat)
Lineage: Eukaryota; Metazoa; Chordata; Mammalia; Rodentia; Muridae
Description: long non-coding RNA NONRATT020960
Source: RNAcentral
GAGUGGCACCAUUGUGGCAGAGAAAGGGACUGCCAGCCAUCUGGUCCUGGAAAGAGCAGGAGGGACAGAAUCUGGUGUGCAGAGGGAAGAAAAGCACAUCGAACAAACUCCCUCAGGGAUACAAAGUAUGACUUCAUUCAUUUAUGGAUAGGGUCAUGUAUAUCCCUGGCUGACCUGGGACUCACUAAGUACAUAACUCAGGAUGGCCUUGGUCUUCUGAUCCUUGAGGCUUCUGCCUCGAGUGUGCCACAUGCAGUGUAUGUGGUUCUGGCUAUCAACCUCGGGGCUUUAUGCAUACCAGACAAGCACUCUACUCACUGAUUUUAUUUUAUUUUAUUUUUUUAUCACUCUACCUUCCUUUAAAA